RNAcentral lists this transfer RNA (82 nucleotides) under Candidatus Peribacteria bacterium. Its description in RNAcentral is "tRNA-Leu". It matches the Rfam family "tRNA". From Rfam's summary of the family: Transfer RNA (tRNA) molecules are approximately 80 nucleotides in length. The record is from RNAcentral. Lineage: Bacteria; Candidatus Peregrinibacteriota; Candidatus Peribacteria.
GCCGAGGUGAUGGAAUUGGUAGACAUGCUUGGCUUAGAACCAAGUGCCUGACGGUGUAGGGGUUCGAGUCCCCUCCUCGGUA